Molecule: ribosomal RNA, 859 nt
Filed under: Fusarium tricinctum
Lineage: Eukaryota; Fungi; Ascomycota; Sordariomycetes; Hypocreales; Nectriaceae
Description: eukaryotic LSU rRNA
Rfam family: 5.8S ribosomal RNA (bases 135-288)
Source: RNAcentral
CCAACCCCUGUGACAUACCUUAAUGUUGCCUCGGCGGAUCAGCCCGCGCCCCGUAAAACGGGACGGCCCGCCAGAGGACCCAAACUCUAAUGUUUCUUAUUGUAACUUCUGAGUAAAACAAACAAAUAAAUCAAAACUUUCAACAACGGAUCUCUUGGUUCUGGCAUCGAUGAAGAACGCAGCAAAAUGCGAUAAGUAAUGUGAAUUGCAGAAUUCAGUGAAUCAUCGAAUCUUUGAACGCACAUUGCGCCCGCUGGUAUUCCGGCGGGCAUGCCUGUUCGAGCGUCAUUUCAACCCUCAAGCCCCCGGGUUUGGUGUUGGGGAUCGGCUCUGCCCUUCUGGGCGGUGCCGCCCCCGAAAUACAUUGGCGGUCUCGCUGCAGCCUCCAUUGCGUAGUAGCUAACACCUCGCAACUGGAACGCGGCGCGGCCAUGCCGUAAAACCCCAACUUCUGAAUGUUGACCUCGGAUCAGGUAGGAAUACCCGCUGAACUUAAGCAUAUCAGUAAGCCGAGGGANGGAUCAUUAUGAGCUUACAGUACCAAACCAAGUGGAGCGACGUGAGUGUUGCCCGGGCGGAUACCGGCCUGACUAGGAAUAGCCCCGAAGAACCCACUCUAACGGUUUCUCAGUGGUUACAUCCCACUAACACAUCUAAUCUCUUUCAACAUUCACACGGAUCUGUUGGUUUCUUGACAUCUAUUAAUAAGCAUCGAAUGCUAUAGUUAUGGUGAUAUUNUNAAAUUCAUGNNNCACUAUAUNNUUAGUAUUGGCGUCGCUGGUAUUCCGCGGGACUGCCUUUUCAAGAUUUAUUUCACCCACCCCGAGCCUCGUGUGUUGUUGGGAUGAGCGCUUACCCU